UUGAGCAGUUGAUCAGUUUGAGCCUGGUCAGUACCUGGAUGGGAGACCUCCUGGGAAAACUAGGUUGCUGCUGGAA
Molecule: ribosomal RNA, 76 nt
Filed under: Sinocyclocheilus grahami
Lineage: Eukaryota; Metazoa; Chordata; Actinopteri; Cypriniformes; Cyprinidae
Source: RNAcentral